Molecule: ribosomal RNA, 308 nt
Filed under: uncultured bacterium
Lineage: Bacteria
Description: partial 16S ribosomal RNA
Rfam family: Bacterial small subunit ribosomal RNA
Source: RNAcentral
GAGACAGCAGCCGCCGCGGGAAUACAGAGGGUGCGAGCGUUAAUCGGAUUUACUGGGCGUAAAGCGUGCGUAGGCGGCUUUUUAAGUCGGAUGUGAAAUCCCUGAGCUUAACUUAGGAAUUGCAUUCGAUACUGGGAAGCUAGAGUAUGGGAGAGGAUGGUAGAAUUCCAGGUGUAGCGGUGAAAUGCGUAGAGAUCUGGAGGAAUACCGAUGGCGAAGGCAGCCAUCUGGCCUAAUACUGACGCUGAGGUACGAAAGCAUGGGGAGCAAACAGGAUUAGAUACCCCAGUAGUCCCUGUCUCUUAUAC